GUUCUUCGGAAUUAGAGACCGGCGCACGGGUGCGUAACGCGUAUGCAAUCUACCUUUUACAGAGGGAUAGCCCAGAGAAAUUUGGAUUAAUACCUCAUAGUAUAGAUCAACCGCAUGGUUGGCUUAUUAAAGUCACAACGGUAAAAGAUGAGCAUGCGUCCCAUUAGCUAGUUGGUAAGGUAACGGCUUACCAAGGCGACGAUGGGUAGGGGUCCUGAGAGGGAGAUCCCCCACACUGGUACUGAGACACGGACCAGACUCCUACGGGAGGCAGCAGUGAGGAAUAUUGGACAAUGGGCGCAAGCCUGAUCCAGCCAUGCCGCGUGCAGGAUGACGGUCCUAUGGAUUGUAAACUGCUUUUGCACAGGAAGAAACAACUCUACGUGUAGAGUCUUGACGGUACUGUGAGAAUAAGGAUCGGCUAACUCCGUGCCAGCAGCCGCGGUAAUACGGAGGAUCCAAGCGUUAUCCGGAAUCAUUGGGUUUAAAGGGUCCGUAGGCGGUUUAGUAAGUCAGUGGUGAAAGCCCAUCGCUCAACGGUGGAACGGCCAUUGAUACUGCCUAGACUUGAAUUAUUAGGAAGUAACUAGAAUAUGUACUGUACCGGUGAAAUGCUUACAGAUUACAUGGAAUA
Molecule: ribosomal RNA, 634 nt
Filed under: uncultured bacterium
Lineage: Bacteria
Description: bacterial SSU rRNA
Rfam family: Bacterial small subunit ribosomal RNA
Source: RNAcentral